This is a small nucleolar RNA of Lathyrus oleraceus (garden pea), 107 nucleotides long. NCBI's taxonomy places the organism in Eukaryota, Viridiplantae, Streptophyta, Magnoliopsida, Fabales, Fabaceae. The record is from RefSeq and is a predicted model, not a curated record.
AUCCCAUGGUAGAGACAUUGUCUAAGCAGUUCCUUAAAUCUUUCCCAAGUAUCAAAUAUGGAUUCAUCCUCUCCUUGCCUAAAUGAAGUUACCUCGUUUCUCAUUUU